CAUCUUCUUUCCUAAAUCUCUCAUCUCCCAUCACUCUUCUUCUCAUUCCCAAAAUUCCAAUGGAAAAAUAAGAGAAAAAAAGAAAACCUCUUCCCACCAUGGCUGGCCCUAUUCUCCUUCUCCCUCGCAACUAUUUUUUCUUUAUUUCUUGCUACUUCAUCUCACUGAACUCUUCCUACUCAUCCUUUUUCAAAUCUCUCAUCUCCCAUCUCUCUUUUUCUCAUCUCCAAAAUUCCAAUGGAGAAAAAAAGAAAGAAAGAAAAACCCCUUUUCCUCCAUAGCUCCAUCCUCCUUUGUGCGGUUCUUCUCAUCCAUUUAUCUCCCAUCAUGUCCUCCUAAUGCCUCCUGUCGAGCUAGCAUUGGUUUCAUCCUCCUCCCAUUUCAGACCCCCUUCCCUCUAUAGUCCCAUUUUUCUCAAAGAAGAGAGAUGGAGGAAGAAGAAAAAAGAAAAAUACGUUGGGAAAAGAAGAAAUAAUGCCACAUAAGCACCACAUCAAU
Molecule: long non-coding RNA, 498 nt
Filed under: Elaeis guineensis (African oil palm)
Lineage: Eukaryota; Viridiplantae; Streptophyta; Magnoliopsida; Arecales; Arecaceae
Description: long non-coding RNA (EGUI_LNC004700)
Source: RNAcentral